CCUACGGGAGGCAGCAGUGAGGAAUAUUGGUCAAUGGACGAGAGUCUGAACCAGCCAAGUAGCGUGAAGGAUGACUGCCCUAUGGGUUGUAAACUUCUUUUAUAUGGGAAUAAAAUGUUCCCCGUGUGGGAUUUUGUAUAUACCAUAUGAAUAAGGAUCGGCUAACUCCGUGCCAGCAGCCGCGGUUAUACGGAGGAUCCGAGCGUUAUCCGGAUUUAUUGGGUUUAAAAGGAGAGUAGGUGGUUUGUUAAGUCAGUUGUGAAAGUUUGCGGCUCAACCGUAAAAUUGCAGUUGAAACUGGCAGUCUUGAGUACAGUAGAGGUAGGCGGAAUUCGUGGUGUAGCGGUGAAAUGCUUAGAUAUCACGCAGAACUCCGAUUGCGAAGGCAGUUCACUGGACUGCAACUGACACUGAGGCUCGAAAGUGUGGGUAUCAAACAGGAUUAGAUACCCUAGUAGUC
RNAcentral lists this ribosomal RNA (460 nucleotides) under uncultured bacterium. RNAcentral's name for it is "partial 16S ribosomal RNA". It matches the Rfam family "Bacterial small subunit ribosomal RNA", at positions 338 to 795 of the family's 1533-position model. The record is from RNAcentral.